This 253-nucleotide ribosomal RNA is filed under the name uncultured bacterium. Its description in RNAcentral is "partial 16S ribosomal RNA". It matches the Rfam family "Bacterial small subunit ribosomal RNA", at positions 524 to 776 of the family's 1533-position model. The record is from RNAcentral. RNAcentral also lists the same sequence under 1 other name.
UACGGAGGGAGCUAGCGUUGUUCGGAAUUACUGGGCGUAAAGCGCACGUAGGCGGCUUUGUAAGUUAGGGGUGAAAGCCCGGAGCUCAACUCCGGAAUUGCCUUUAAGACUGCAUCGCUUGAAUCCGGGAGAGGUGAGUGGAAUUCCGAGUGUAGAGGUGAAAUUCGUAGAUAUUCGGAAGAACACCAGUGGCGAAGGCGGCUCACUGGACCGGUAUUGACGCUGAGGUGCGAAAGCGUGGGGAGCAAACAGG